Molecule: ribosomal RNA, 1939 nt
Filed under: human gut metagenome
Description: bacterial LSU rRNA
Rfam family: Bacterial large subunit ribosomal RNA
Source: RNAcentral
UUAAGCAAAGAAGAGCGCAGGGUGGAUGCCUUGGCACUAAGAGCCGAAGAAAGACGUGAUAAGCUGCGAAAAGCUGCGGGGAGAUGCAAAUAAUCCUUGAUCCGCAGAUGUCUGAAUGGGGAAACCCGGUACGAAGAACUCGUAUCAUCCAUACGCCAAUCCAUAACGUAUGGAGGGGAACCCGGUGAACUGAAACAUCUAAGUAGCCGGAGGAAGAGAAAGAAACAUCGAUUUUGUUAGUAGCGGCGAGCGAAAGCGAAAGAGGCCAAACCGGAGUGCGUGCACUCCGGGGUUCGGACCGCAUUUAAGAUUCAGUGAUUCUAGCAGAAAGGUUUGGGAAAGCCUGCCGGAGAGGGUGAAAGCCCCGUAAGCGAAAGGAGAGCUGACUGAGCGGGAUCCAGAGUACAUCGAGACACGAGAAACCUUGAUGGAAUGAGCGGGGACCACCCCGUAAGCCUAAAUACUACUUAGUGACCGAUAGCGCAUAGUACUGUGAAGGAAAGGUGAAAAGGACCCCGGGAGGGGAGUGAAAGAGAACCUGAAACCCUGUGUUUACAAGCUGUGGAAGUUCUUUAAAUGAACAACCGCGUACUUUUUGUAGAACGGUCCGGCGAGUUGCGGAUACUGGCAAGGUUAAGCACUUAAGGUGCGGAGCCGAAGGGAUACCAAGUCUUAACAGGGCGUUAAGUCAGUGUACGCAGACCCGAAACCGGGUGAUCUAUCCAUGUCCAGGUUGAAGUUGUCGUAAAAGACAAUGGAGGACCGAAGCCACAUCCGUUGAAAAGGGUGGGCAUGAGGUGUGGAUAGGGGAGAAAUUCCAAUCGAACCCGGAGAUAGCUGGUUCUCCUCGAAAUAGCUUUAGGGCUAGCCUCGAUUUAGUCUUAUGGAGGUAGAGCACUGAAUUUCCGCGGGGGCGUCAAAGCUUACCAAAGAAUAUCAAACUCCGAAUGCCAUGUAGAUGAUGAUCGGGAGUCAGACUGCACGAGAUAAGUUGGGCAGUCAAAAGGGAAAGAGCCCAGACCACCGGCUAAGGUCCCAAAGUGCGUGUUAAGUGGAAAAGGAUGUGGGAAUUCGAAGACAACUAGGAUGUUGGCUCAGAAGCAGCCAUACAUUCAAAGAGUGCGUAAUAGCUCACUAGUCGAGAGGUCCUGCGCCGAAAAUGUCCGGGGCUGAAACACGACACCGAAGCCGUGGACUCGCAAUGCGAGUGGUAGAGGAGCAUUCUUAAAACCGACGAAGCUGUACCGGAAGGAGCAGUGGAGGGAUAAGAAGAGAGAAUGCCGGAAUGAGUAGCGAGAGAAAGGUGGGAAUCCUUUCGGCCGAAUAUCUAAGGUUUCCAGAGUAAAGCUGAUCUGCUCUGGGUAAGUCGGGGCCUAAGCACAGGUCGCAAGACGUAAGCGAUGGAUAACAGGUUUAGAUUCCUGUACCACGCAUUAUCAGAACUGUAGGGACGCAUGUGGAAAGCACGGGCCGGGAAUGGAAAAACCGGUACAAGCGGGGUAGGUGUACAAUAGGCAAAUCCGUUGUAUAAUCCGAAGACGUGAUGUGGAGCGAAAUAAAGUAGCAAAGCGUGUGAGCCAUGUGCCGAGAAAAGCUGCUAUUGUGUAAUGCGUGCCCGUACCGUAAACCGACACAGGUGGAUGAGGAGAGAAUCCUAAGGCCGACGGGAGAAGCAUUGUUAAGGAACUCGGCAAAAUGACCCCGUAACUUCGGGAGAAGGGGUGCCUGCGAGAGCAGGCCGCAGAGAAUAGGCUCAAGCAACUGUUUAGCAAAAACACAGGUCUAUGCGAAACCGAAAGGUGAAGUAUAUGGGCUGACGCCUGCCCGGUGCUGGAAGGUUAAGAGGAGAGGUUAGCGUAAGCGAAGCUUUGAAUUUAAGCCCCAGUAAACGGCGGCCGUAACUAUAACGGUCCUAAGGUAGCGAAAUUCCUUGUCGGGU